AUGGUGUCUUAAAUAUUGUUCAUGGCACCAAUGAUAUUGUCAAUGCUAUUUGUGAUGAUGAUGAUAUUAAAGCUAUUUCAUUUGUUGGUCCGAACUCAGCUGGUGCAUAUGUGUAUGCAAGGGCAUCAGCUAAAGGAAAACGCAUCCAGUCCAAUAUUGGAGCAAAAAAUCAUGCAGUUGUCAUGCCUGAUGCAAAUGUGGAUGCUACCUUACAUGCUCUAGUUGCUGCUGGCUUUGGUGGUGCGGGACAAAAAUGCAUGGCCCUGAGCACAGUUGUCUUUGUUGGAGGCCUAAGUCCAUGGGAGGAGAAACUGAUAGAGCGUGCGAAAGCACUUUAUGUAACUGCUGGGACAGAACCUGAUGCAGAUAUUGGUCCAGUUAUUAGCAAGCAGGCAAAAGAACAAAUAUGCAUGUUAAUUCAAACAAGCAUUGACAGUGGUGCAAAACUAGUUCUUGAUGGAAGAAACAUUGUGGUUCCUGGCUAUGAAAAUGGGAACUUCAUGGGUCCUACUAUCUUAUCUGAUGUCACAGUCAACAUGGAAUGUUAUAAGGAGGAAAUCUUUGGCCCUGUUCUUCUUUGUAUGCAGGCUGAUACCAUUGAAGAGGCCAUAAAUAUUGUUAAUGGAAAUAAAUACAGCAAUGGAGCUUCUAUAUUUACUACAUCUGGUGUAACUGCAAGGAAAUUUCAAACAGAGAUUGAGGUUGGGCAGGUUGGCAUUAAUGUUCCUAUCUCAGUACCACUGCCAUUCUCUUCAUUUAUUAGCUCCAAGCCAUCCUUUGCUGGAGAUGUCAACUUUGAUGGAAAAGCUGGAAUUCAGUUUUACACCCAAGUUAAAACCGUAACUCAACAAUGGAAAGAUAUACUAAGUGAAGAUGUGUCAGCUGUAGCAUUGCCAAGCUCUUAGAGAUCAUGCUAUAGAGAGAUAUCUGUCUUCAAAUAGAGUGGUUAGCCUGAGCACAAUAUAAUAGGCAAAAAUUGGUUGAUGAUUCUCCUUUUCUGUUGCUUCGGACUACAGGAAAUCAUGCUCAUUGUUCAUAUUAGUUUCCUCUUUUGGCUUAGUCGCUCACUCUUCUUUUUGUGGGUGCGCAAACGCACUUGCGCAUGUGCAUGCAUAUGCUGUGUUGCUUCCUUUCAUUUAUGGGUUGGAUGGGGAGAUGGAUCAGCUUCAAUGGGGUGGAUAUAAAAUAAAUGAAAUGCAAACCUGAUCACAUGCGGUGGUCUUGGUGAUUCUGUUUCUUGUGAGAUGUGUGUGGGUUU
Molecule: unclassified non-coding RNA, 1258 nt
Filed under: Hevea brasiliensis (rubber tree)
Lineage: Eukaryota; Viridiplantae; Streptophyta; Magnoliopsida; Malpighiales; Euphorbiaceae
Source: RNAcentral